UGCUGGAGGUAUCAGAAGUGCGAAUGCUGACAUAAGUAACGAUAAAGCGGGUGAAAAGCCCGCUCGCCGGAAGACCAAGGGUUCCUGUCCAACGUUAAUCGGGGCAGGGUGAGUCGACCCCUAAGGCGAGGCCGAAAGGCGUAGUCGAUGGGAAACGGGUUAAUAUUCCCGUACUUGGUGUUACUGCGAAGGGGGGACGGAGAAGGCUAUGUUGGCCGGGCGACGGUUGUCCCGGUUUAAGCGUGUAGGUGUGUGUUCCAGGUAAAUCCGGUUCACUUUAACACUGAGGCGUGACGACGAGGCACUACGGUGCUGAAGCAACAAAUGCCCUGCUUCCAGGAAAAGCCUCUAAGCAUCAGGUAACAUCAAAUCGUACCCCAAACCGACACAGGUGGUCAGGUAGAGAAUACCAAGGCGCUUGAGAGAACUCGGGUGAAGGAACUAGGCAAAAUGGUGCCGUAACUUCGGGAGAAGGCACGCUGACACGUAGGUGAAGUGAUUUACUCAYGGAGCUGAAGUCAGUCGAAGAUACCAGCUGGCUGCA
RNAcentral lists this ribosomal RNA (544 nucleotides) under Salmonella enterica. RNAcentral's name for it is "partial 23S ribosomal RNA". The record is from RNAcentral. Lineage: Bacteria; Pseudomonadati; Pseudomonadota; Gammaproteobacteria; Enterobacterales; Enterobacteriaceae.